Molecule: transfer RNA, 74 nt
Filed under: Chloroflexota bacterium
Lineage: Bacteria; Bacillati; Chloroflexota
Also listed under: 4 other names
Description: Chloroflexi bacterium tRNA-Gln
Rfam family: tRNA
About the family: Transfer RNA (tRNA) molecules are approximately 80 nucleotides in length.
Source: RNAcentral
UCCCGGGUCGUUCAGUGGUAGGACAGGGGCCUUUGAAGCCUCCAACCCUGGUUCGAAUCCAGGCCCGGGAGCCA